Molecule: ribosomal RNA, 404 nt
Filed under: uncultured Hoeflea sp.
Lineage: Bacteria; Pseudomonadati; Pseudomonadota; Alphaproteobacteria; Hyphomicrobiales; Rhizobiaceae
Description: bacterial SSU rRNA
Rfam family: Bacterial small subunit ribosomal RNA
Source: RNAcentral
GACGAACGCUGGCGGCAGGCUUAACACAUGCAAGUCGAGCGAAGACUUCGGUCUAGCGGCAGACGGGUGAGUAAACGCGUGGGAAUCUACCUAGCUCUACGGAAUAGCUCCGGGAAAACUGGAAUUAAUACCGUAUACGCCUUCGGGGAAAGAUUUAUCGGAGUUGGAUGAGCCCGCGUUGGAUUAGCUAGUUGGUGGGGGUAAAGGCCUACCAAGGCGACGAUCCAUAGCUGGUCUGAGAGGAUGAUCAGCCACAUUGGGGACUGAGACACGGCCCAAACUCCUACGGGAGGCAGCAGUGGGGGAAUAUUGGACAAUGGGCGCAAGCCUGAUCCAGCCAUGCCGCGUGAGUGAUGAAGGCCCUAGGGUUGUAAAGCUCUUUCAACGGUGAAGAUAAUGACGGU